Molecule: transfer RNA, 77 nt
Filed under: Cyanobacteria bacterium J007
Lineage: Bacteria; Bacillati; Cyanobacteriota
Description: tRNA-Arg
Rfam family: tRNA
About the family: Transfer RNA (tRNA) molecules are approximately 80 nucleotides in length. Their secondary structure includes four short double-helical elements and three loops (D, anti-codon, and T loops).
Source: RNAcentral
GGGUGCGUAACUCAGUUGGAUAGAGUAGCGAACUUCUAAUUCGUUGGUCGCAGGUUCGAGUCCUGCCGCACCCGUCA